Molecule: long non-coding RNA, 312 nt
Organism: Oncorhynchus keta (chum salmon)
Lineage: Eukaryota; Metazoa; Chordata; Actinopteri; Salmoniformes; Salmonidae
Exons: 3
Source: RefSeq, a predicted model, not a curated record
GCCAGAGACUGGCAGGGAGCCCUGUCUAAACUGAACCAGAUCACUGAACCUACCUCCCCGUACUCUGUUUCUGACUGCCUCGGCUCACCUUGCCCUGGGGCAGCUGGAGCCUGCCAUCCAGGCUUUAGACCAGACCAUAGCCAAGGAUGAGCGACUUGCAGUUGGCUUUUUCCAAAGAGCUGGAACACUCAUAAUGGCUAGCAGGCUGGAGGAGGCUCUGAAUUACUGUAUCUCGGCUCAGAAACACAUGAGAGGGAACGUGGUCAUUGACUACAGACAGCUGGGGCUACGCUACAAGCUCUACAACUUACA